UCUCUGAUAGCUCAAUUGGUAAAGCAUCUGCCUGCAAUGCAGGACACCCGGUUCGAUUCCUGGGUCAGGAA
RNAcentral lists this transfer RNA (71 nucleotides) under Bos indicus (zebu cattle). It matches the Rfam family "tRNA". Rfam says of the family: Transfer RNA (tRNA) molecules are approximately 80 nucleotides in length. Their secondary structure includes four short double-helical elements and three loops (D, anti-codon, and T loops). Lineage: Eukaryota; Metazoa; Chordata; Mammalia; Artiodactyla; Bovidae. RNAcentral also lists the same sequence under 3 other names. The record is from Rfam by way of RNAcentral.